Long non-coding RNA from Bufo bufo (common toad), 161 nucleotides. RefSeq lists it as uncharacterized. The record is from RefSeq and is a predicted model, not a curated record. The transcript has 4 exons. Lineage: Eukaryota; Metazoa; Chordata; Amphibia; Anura; Bufonidae.
AUUCAAAGCUAUGACUGAAAAUGUAUAUAGUCUGCUCAGCAUGCAUGCUGGUACUUGUAGCCCCUGGAUUCAAUGAAGGCCAUUUUGGCUCCACACAGACAUAAAUCAAGGGGGCCCAGCAUGCAUGUGGGACCUGCACUCUCUGGAUCCAUGGUUGCAGU